Molecule: ribosomal RNA, 433 nt
Filed under: uncultured bacterium
Lineage: Bacteria
Description: partial 16S ribosomal RNA
Rfam family: Bacterial small subunit ribosomal RNA
Source: RNAcentral
AACGAACGCUGGCGGCAUGCCUAACACAUGCAAGUCGAACGAGACCUUCGGGUCUAGUUGCGCACGGGUGCGUAACGCGUGGGAAUCUGCCCUUGGGUUCGGAAUAACAGUUGGAAACGACUGCUAAUACCGGAUGAUGACGUAAGUCCAAAGAUUUAUCGCCCAAGGAUGAGCCCGCGUAGGAUUAGCUAGUUGGUGAGGUAAAGGCUCACCAAGGCGACGAUCCUUAGCUGGUCGGAGAGGAUGAUCAGCCACACUGGGACUGAGACACGGCCCAGACUCCUACGGGAGGCAGCAGUGGGGAAUAUUGGACAAUGGGCGAAAGACUGAUCCAGCAAUGCCGCGUGAGUGAUGAAGGCCUUAGGGUUGUAAAGCUCUUUUACCCGGGAUGAUAAUGACAGUACCGGGAGAAUAAGCUCCGGCUAACUCCGUG